This 217-nucleotide long non-coding RNA is filed under the name Carica papaya (papaya). RNAcentral's name for it is "long non-coding RNA (CPAP_LNC005776)". The record is from RNAcentral. Lineage: Eukaryota; Viridiplantae; Streptophyta; Magnoliopsida; Brassicales; Caricaceae.
AUAAGUUCUUAUAGCUGGGUCGAUACUCCCCUGAGACAUUGAUGGAUGAGGGCAGAAAGGCCAGGAGGUUCCAGUGGGGCCUCCGCCCAGAGAUCAAGCGGCACUUAUUGGUACUAGAGCUUAAGAUAUAUUCAGCCGUUCUGGCAAAGGCGUAGAUCGUGGAGGGGAGUUUCAGCACCCUUUCCCAAUCAGCAGGGAGUCACAGACCCUCAGCUCC